Non-coding RNA from Helianthus annuus (common sunflower), 460 nucleotides. NCBI's taxonomy places the organism in Eukaryota, Viridiplantae, Streptophyta, Magnoliopsida, Asterales, Asteraceae. The record is from Rfam.
UUCUCCCUGAAAUGCGUUGAGGCGCAACAGUUGACUGGACAUUUACGGGUAAAGUACUGUUUCGGUGCGGGCCGUGAGAGCGGUACCAAAUCGAGGCAAACUCUUAAUACUAGAUAUGACCUCAAAAUAACAGGGGCCAAGGUCGGCUAGUGAGACGAUGGGGGAUAAGCUUCAUCGUCGAGAGGGAACAGCUCGGAUCACCAGCUAAGGCCCCUAAGUGACCGCUCAGUGAUAAAGGAGGUAGGAGUGUAGAGACAACCACGAGGUUUGCCUAAAAGUAGCCACCCUUGAAAGAGUGCUUAAUAACUCAUUGAUCGAGCGCUCUUGCGCCGAAGAUGAACGGGGCUAAGUGAUCUGAAUAAGCUGUGGGAUGUAAAAAUACAUCGGUAGUGAUAAAGGAGGUACCGCUCCCCCUUAGAGUGAAGCACCCGCGCGAGCAGUAGUGGACGAAGCAGAAGCG